UUUGCCAUCGCCAGAUGGCUCACAACGCGCUUUGUUCUCCCGCCUUUAUAAACCCCUUGCUUCACCAGAAACUUCAUUCGAAACUUCGACUUCAAGAUAUCUCCAGACCUCGUACAGACAAACAGAAUUUUCGCAAACAUGGCGCGAGUUGCAUGCAUGAUACUUCUGCUGGUGGUAGCGGUGAUGUGUGUUACGGUACAAGCGAGUGAGGGCAACGGUCUAUUACACCACUGUCACGACGCCCAUUGUUGCGAACACCAUCCUAACGCCGAGAACUGCUGCGCUGAUGAGCAUUGUUGCCAUCACCAUAACGCCCAUAACUGCUGUGAUGACCACCAUUGUUGCCAUCACCACCCUAAUUAUGCAAACUGCUAGCACGGUCUUUUGAGAGGUUGAUAAACCACGAUGUGACAUGGAGCAAUCCACAGAAACCUGACCUACCGGAAUCGACUACACGGAAAUGGACUCUAUUUCUCUUUUACUCUCGUUGCUUAUUAAAUGUUCGUAUCGAUACGAGUAAAAAUUAAAUCGCAAAUGCAGGCAAUAACUAUGAAAA
Long non-coding RNA from Lineus longissimus, 556 nucleotides. RefSeq lists it as uncharacterized. The record is from RefSeq and is a predicted model, not a curated record. Lineage: Eukaryota; Metazoa; Nemertea; Pilidiophora; Heteronemertea; Lineidae. The transcript has 2 exons.